RNAcentral lists this ribosomal RNA (290 nucleotides) under uncultured bacterium. Its description in RNAcentral is "partial 16S ribosomal RNA". It matches the Rfam family "Bacterial small subunit ribosomal RNA", at positions 773 to 1060 of the family's 1533-position model. The record is from RNAcentral.
GUGGAUUAGAUACCCUGGUAGUCCACGCUGUAAACGAUGGGCACUAGGUGUUCGGGGUAUUGACCCCCUGAGUGCCGCAGCUAACGCAUUAAGUGCCCCGCCUGGGGACUACGGCCGCAAGGUUAAAACUCAAAGGAAUUGACGGGGGCCCGCACAAGCGGUGGAGCAUGUGGUUUAAUUCGACGCAACGCGAAGAACCUUACCUGGGCUAGACAACACCGGACACCCCUAGAAAUAGGGUUUUCCCGCAAGGGACUGGUGGUUCAGGUGCUGCACGGCUGUCGACAGCU